Molecule: ribosomal RNA, 1440 nt
Filed under: uncultured organism
Description: SSU rRNA
Rfam family: Bacterial small subunit ribosomal RNA
Source: RNAcentral
UUCUACAGGCUUAACACAUGCAAGUCGAGGGGCAGCAUUUUAGUUUGCUUGCAAACUGAAGAUGGCGACCGGCGCACGGGUGAGUAACACGUAUCCAACCUGCCGAUAACUCCGGGAUAGCCUUUCGAAAGAAAGAUUAAUACCGGAUAGCAUACGAAUAUCGCAUGAUAUUUUUAUUAAAGAAUUUCGGUUAUCGAUGGGGAUGCGUUCCAUUAGUUUGUUGGCGGGGUAACGGCCCACCAAGACUACGAUGGAUAGGGGUUCUGAGAGGAAGGUCCCCCACAUUGGAACUGAGACACGGUCCAAACUCCUACGGGAGGCAGCAGUGAGGAAUAUUGGUCAAUGGGCGAGAGCCUGAACCAGCCAAGUAGCGUGAAGGAUGAAGGCUCUAUGGGUCGUAAACUUCUUUUAUAUGGGAAUAAAGUUUUCCACGUGUGGAAUUUUGUAUGUACCAUAUGAAUAAGGAUCGGCUAACUCCGUGCCAGCAGCCGCGGUAAUACGGAGGAUCCGAGCGUUAUCCGGAUUUAUUGGGUUUAAAGGGAGCGUAGGUGGAUUGUUAAGUCAGUUGUGAAAGUUUGCGGCUCAACCGUAAAAUUGCAGUUGAAACUGGCAGUCUUGAGUACAGUAGAGGUGGGCGGAAUUCGUGGUGUAGCGGUGAAAUGCUUAGAUAUCACGAAGAACUCCGAUUGCGAAGGCAGCUCACUAGACUGUCACUGACACUGAUGCUCGAAAGUGUGGGUAUCAAACAGGAUUAGAUACCCUGGUAGUCCACACAGUAAACGAUGAAUACUCGCUGUUUGCGAUAUACAGUAAGCGGCCAAGCGAAAGCAUUAAGUAUUCCACCUGGGGAGUACGCCGGCAACGGUGAAACUCAAAGGAAUUGACGGGGGCCCGCACAAGCGGAGGAACAUGUGGUUUAAUUCGAUGAUACGCGAGGAACCUUACCCGGGCUUAAAUUGCAACAGAAUAUAUUGGAAACAGUAUAGCCGUAAGGCUGUUGUGAAGGUGCUGCAUGGUUGUCGUCAGCUCGUGCCGUGAGGUGUCGGCUUAAGUGCCAUAACGAGCGCAACCCUUAUCUUUAGUUACUAACAGGUUAUGCUGAGGACUCUAGAGAGACUGCCGUCGUAAGAUGUGAGGAAGGUGGGGAUGACGUCAAAUCAGCACGGCCCUUACGUCCGGGGCUACACACGUGUUACAAUGGGGGGUACAGAAGGCGGCUACCUGGUGACAGGAUGCUAAUCCCAAAAACCUCUCUCAGUUCGGAUCGAAGUCUGCAACCCGACUUCGUGAAGCUGGAUUCGCUAGUAAUCGCGCAUCAGCCAUGGCGCGGUGAAUACGUUCCCGGGCCUUGUACACACCGCCCGUCAAGCCAUGAAAGCCGGGGGUACCUGAAGUACGUAACCGCAAGGAGCGUCCUAGGGUAAAACUGGUAAUUGGGGC